UGUGGGAGCGGGCUUGCUCGCGAAAGCGAUAGAUCAGUCAAUAUCAGUGUUGAAUGAUCAACCGCUUUCGCGAGCAAGCCCGCUCCCACA
This 90-nucleotide unclassified non-coding RNA is filed under the name Pseudomonas umsongensis. Lineage: Bacteria; Pseudomonadati; Pseudomonadota; Gammaproteobacteria; Pseudomonadales; Pseudomonadaceae. The record is from RNAcentral.